This 14448-nucleotide long non-coding RNA is filed under the name Mytilus galloprovincialis (Mediterranean mussel). Lineage: Eukaryota; Metazoa; Mollusca; Bivalvia; Mytilida; Mytilidae. The record is from RNAcentral.
GGUUGCAAGAAUGAGAACAUUUAUACAUACCAUUUUGCUGAUCAUUCUUUAUCUACAAGGUAAGUUUAUAAUGUAAAGUUAUAUCUAAAAAUGAAGAGACGUGGCAUUAUUGCCAAUGACACAAAUCUCCAUCACUGAAUAAAGGAUGAGGAUGUUAACAACUAUAAGUCAACGUACGGUCUUCAACAAUGAGUAAAAACCAUACCGUACAGUAAGCUAUAAUAGGCCCGACAUGACAACAAUAUACUAUGAAAACUCAGAAUUUUUUUUGGAAAUACACAAUGUUGUGUCUGUAACUAUCCCAGCAAUGUCAUUUCAAGCAAAACAGAUUCCAUAAAUUUCAAUAUUGUGCAUCCAUUUGUGGUACUGAUAGUGGCGAAACAUUAUUUAUUUUUCUUCUUCAAAGUUCAAGUUAACAUACGAGUUCGAGUUAUGAUUUUAACUGUAGUCAUACGAUAACGACAUCUUUAUUUACGAAAUAAUGUUGUAAAUUUAUCAGCUUUUGCCUAAAAAGGUUAUGAAAUUCUGAAUGAUCUUUAUGAAUACAGAUUGUACAUGUAUAUGACACUGAUGUCUGUGAGUUUGCAAUGGUAUUACAUAGGCAUUUAUAAUAAAGUAUUCAAGUAUGACGUAAGUUUUAUUUCCCCUAAAUUAUCAUUUUCAAGUUUUUGAUUUUUAAUCAACGUUCGAGUUAUGCUUGUCUUAGAAUUAGAUUAGAAUAAUGUUCGAGUUAAAUGUCUUUUCAAAUAAAAGUUUGAGUACGAGAUUGCGAGGAUUUUUCAGUAUCAGUUCGAGAUAGUACGACAGCUAAAAUUGAUACAGUGCAUUGAUCCAAAUAUUCGUCACCUUCAAUUUUAACGCUGUAUAUUUCAGAAGACAAACAUUAAAAUAAGGAUGAUGUGGGCUGAUUUCUGUUCAGAUUUUAAUUAACCCUUACCAUGCGGUGACCGUCAUAUGACGGGCUUACCAAAAUAACCGUUAUUUGGCUCCAAUGGCUCUCCAUACUUUAAGAGGUCAACUGCAUGAUAUCUAUUUCGAAAUUGAUGCAUGUUCCCUCAACCUGAGGCUAUUUAUUGUCAUGUUUCUGAUGUUCCCUCAACCUGAGGCUAUUUAUUGUCAUGUUUCUGAUGUUCCCUCAACCUGAGGCUAUUUAUUGUCAUGUUUCUGAUCCUGAGGCUAUUUAUUGUCAUGUUUCUGAUGUUCCCUCAACCUGAGGCUAUUUAUUGUCAUGUUUCUGAUGUUCCCUCAACCUGAGGCUAUUUAUUAUAUUGUUUCUCAUGUUCCCUCAACCUGAGGCUAUUUAUUGUCAUGUUUCUGAUGUUCCCUCAACCUGAGGCUAUUUAUUGUCAUGUUUCUGAUGUUCCCUCAACCUGAGGCUAUUAUUGUCAUGUUGUCUGAUGUUCCCUCACCUGACUAUUUAUUAUUUGUUUCUCAUGUUCCCUCACCUGAGGCUAUUUAUUGUCAUGUUUAUGAUGUUCCCUCACCUGAGGCUAUUUAUUGUCAUGUUUCUGAUGUUCCUCAACUGAGGCUAUUAUUGUCAUGUUUCUGAUGAUUCCCCUCAACCUGAGGCUAUUUAUUGUCUUUCUGAUGUUCCCUCAACCUGAGGCUAUUUAUUGUCAUGUUUCUGAUGUUCCCUCAACCUGAGGCUAUUUAUUGUCAUGUUUCUGAUGUUUAAGGUGCAUUUUGAACUCAAAUACGAACUUGGAAAAUUGAAAUCGGAUAAGUGGUUUUUCUGGAGGGGUGGGCUUCCCUUCGGUGUCUGACAAAGGCAGUUCAGUAUGGCAUGGUAUUGGUUGCAAAAAUUGAUAUUUUUCAUUUAAAUGCAAUAUUUUUUAUUUAAUUGGUAUAUUUCUUCAUCUAAAUGCAAUAUUUUUUUAUUUGAAUGGUAUUUUUUUUUCAUUUAAAUGCAAUAUUUUUUAUUCAAAUGGUAUAAUUUGUCAUUCAAAUGCAAUAUUUUUUAUUCAAUUGGUAUAUUUAUUCAUUCAAAUGCAAUAUUUUUUUAUUUGAAUGGUAUAUUUUUUCAUUUAAAUGCAAUAUUUUUUAUUUAAAUGGUAUAAUUUGUCAUUCAAAUGCAAUAUUUUUUAUUCAAUUGGUAUAUAUAGUAGUUUUUUUUUAUUUAUAUGCAAUAAUUGCAUUAUGGGAAAUUCUUUGACGUCAUAAGGUCAAAUUUGCAACAACAUUUGUGAUUUGGAUUUUCCCCCUUUCUUUCUAAACAUGAGUGACCAAGUAUUAAAAAACGCGUCAGAAUAUCGCCCCCUAACUAAAUCUUGCGUUCGUGCGAGUCCUGCACUGGUUGUUAAAAUCUUAUGGUCCUUACUAUUAUUUCUAUUGCAAAAUUUCGAUGGUCAAUACGUUCGGGACCACCACUUUUUAAAAACUUUCUUUGUAUAUGGAUCUAUAUGCAAGUAUUAUUAUUAUUAGUAUAUCGUUUUUUUAAAUAGAUUAGGCACCGUUGGUUUUCCCGUUUGAAUGGUUUUACACUGUCAUUUUUGGGGGGCCCUUUAUAGCUUGCUGUUCGGUGUGAGUCAAGGCUCUGUGUUGAAGACCUUACUUUGACCUAUAAUAUAUAUAUACAUUUACAAAUUAUGACUUGGAUGGGAGAGUUGUCUCAUUGGCACUCAUACCACAUCUUCUUAUAUCUAUAUACAACGUAAACCAGACGUUUCUCAGACUGUUUUCUUUUUUAAUAAAUCCUUUGCCGCGCGUUGUGAACUGAUUGAUACUUCAGUCUGGGAGAACAAGAUUUAUUUCAGUAUUAGUUGUAAUAGCUUUAAGCAAACUUCCAGUAAUUGCAAAUAUUCUUAUGUCGGUGCUUUGUGUCUAUUGUCUUAAUGUUAUUUUUUUUUAUGUGUCUCAUACCGAUCUUUUGAGUUAAUCUAAUUGCAACUGAUUAGUGCAGGUUGUGCUUUGAUGAUACUGUUACACCACUGUCCCAGCUUCGGGAUGGGUUGAGUGCUAACAAACAUGUUGUUGUACUGUUACACCACUGUCCCAGGUUAGGGGGAGGAUUGGAAUCCCACUAACAUGUUUAACUUCGCUACAUUCUGUAUGUAUGUGCUUGUCCCAAGUCAGGAGCCUGUAAUUCAGUGGUUGCCGUGUGUGUUUAUACAUAUUUGUGUUUCGUUCAUUUUUUUGUACAUUAAUUCGGCCGUUAGUUUUCUUGUUUAAAUUGUUUUACAUUUGUGAUUUCGGGGCCUUUUAUAGUCUACUAUGCGGUAGGCUUUGCUUAUUGUGGAAGGCCGUACGGAGACUUAUAUAGCUGUUGAUUUCUGUUUAAUUUGGUCUCUUGUGGAGAGUUGUCUCAUUUGCAACCAUACUGUACUACAUCUUCGUUUUUGUACCAACCCUGCCAUUUCUUUAUUUGCCUGUCUCAGGUCAGGAGCCUGUAGUUAAGUGGUUGUCGUUGGUUCAUGUCUCGACUCAUAUUUAAUAUUUUGUAAAUUGUUUUGUUAUGUAUAAUAAGCCGUUAGUUUUUUCGUUUGAAUUGUUCACACUUUUCAUGUCGGGCCUUUUAUAGACGACUUUACAGUAUAAGGUUUUUGUCAUUGUUGAAGGCCUUACGAUUGUCUAUAAUUGCUUACAUCCACUUCAUAUUUGAACUCCGAUGGAUAGUUGCCUUAUUAGCAAUCAUAUCCCAUCCCUUCGUUUUUAUAUUAUAUACCUGACUUCUAAACUCGUGUUUUCCUGAACAAGCAUGAAAUAUUUGUCACUGGGCGUUAAAAAUUAGCAGCAAACAUUCAAUCAAUUUAAACUUGUGUUAAAUAAGAGGAAAACCAUUUAAUAUUUAUUUAUUUAUUGGGGUGGGGGACAGAAGGAUUUCAUAUAUGAAUAUGGUUGCCUGGUGAGAGCUGAAAAAUAGGCAUGAUAAGCGACAGAUUAAAAUGAAUAAUAAUGUCCUCUCUUCCCUUCCCCAUCCUUCAUAUAUAAAUUUAAACUGACCACCACGGAAUAGCCCAAUAGUGUUGAAAAUAGCGUUAAAUACCAAUCAAUCAAAAUCCCUUCCCUAGAAUAUCAAAUAAUCGUCCCUUACUACUGUUAUUGUCCGUGUAGUUCUUAUAUUUAUCCAGCUUAUCGUCCUACAGGGAUGUCUAACUAAGGUUGUCAUACCAUAAAAACGUUUAUAACACAGCCGCAUUCAUAAACGUAUUAAUGUUAUUUAGACUAAACGACGCCAUGUUUGUUAUGUGCCUCUGCCGUCUAAAGAACCUAUAAAAAAAGAAGAGGUGGAAGAGAGCCAGAAGAUCUUCCCAAUGCAAAAAUGCAGAAAUGGACUUCUUCUGGCUCACUACCGAAGAACAAAAAAACGCUUCCAAUUUAUAUGUUUUAAAAACGCCUUGCUCCUACCCCUUUUUCCAAAAAAAUUGGCAUUGUUAAAUAUAUAUACAUAUAUAUAAUCAUCAUUAAAAUGCUUUUGUAUUUUUAUAAGACCUACUUUAUUACAUGAUCUGGGACUAAUGACAUCUAUCUAUAAGUCCAAGCAUACAGUAAAUUAUUAUAAUAUGAAUAUGUUUCUUUUAAUAACCACAUAUGAUGCUAGUAUGCAUGAGUCACCAUUUAUCAGGACAUAAAUUGGGUUUACAUAGAGAGAAUAGUGUGCAAAAAUAGAUAAGGGGCGGGACCAAACCUAUAGAUAACAUAAUAAAGAAAUGAUGAAAUAUAAAGAAUACGUUGAUUGUUUUUUUUGUUUACUUAUGUCCAGUGGCAAAUAUUUCACGCAUGUUUAGGACAAAUAUAAUAGAGAUCAAAGGAUAAAGAAUAGAGUGAAAUGGUCAAAACUAAAAGAUAUAGAAUUAUAGAAACAAUCUUUGAUCUGAACCCCCUCUCCCCCCCUCUCACACACACACCAUAACCAUUACUGCCAAUACUUGCAUAUAUACAUCUCUAUACAAAUAUCUAAAUCUGAACCCCUCUCCCCUAGACACCGAGGUUCUGGAUCCGCCCCUGUUAAAUGUAUCUUAUUACAUAUGUAGGACUCUAAAGUACGAUGGGGACGCUAAAGUACGAUGGUCACGCUAAAGUGCGAUGGUUUACGCUAAAGUCCGAUGCUUCCAUACGCUUAAGUCCGAUGGUCUGCGAAAAUAUAGACGUUAGAAACGAACUUUGAUAAUGACGAUUAAAGUCGUUUAUAGAUACAAACCAAAAAUGAACAUGCGGGAAGAUAAAUUAAGAAUAUUUGAUUAACAACUUUUACACCAAAUGUCCAUGACUUACUAGUAAUUCAUUUAAACUUAACCGUUCUUUGUCGGCUGAAGCACAAUGUUUUUUUUUCGAGUGAUGAAAGACGGACUUGCAUCCUACAGUCAACCAUUUUACUUAAAAAUGUAUAGAUACAAAAUAUAAUACGCAUACGUAUCCUGUAUCCUGCUUCUAUUUGAAGCGAUCGGAUACAUUUCAAUCAUUGUUUAUGUGGCAGUUUCCUUUGCAUGCGAUCACCGUUAAAGUACUGUCGAUUUUAAUGAAAAGUAACGUCGGUAUAAUAGAGGUACAUGUUUUCAUGCGUAAAUUAAAAAUUGUCUGCUAAAGCUUAUACAAAUAAAAGUUGUAUAUUCCGACAAUGAACGAAUUUUGUCAUUGUAAUUUUCAAUGACGACUGUAAGGGAGGUUGUCACAUUAGUGUGAACGGCAAAAUACACCAAUUAUCCAAAUAUUGAAUCGCUCCGAAUUGUUACAAUUUCAUUUUACAGGAUAUAUAGUAUAAUGUGACACUUAAAUACCUUUUUAGCAAUUAUAACGUGGUCGGUCUUCCAAAUUUAGAAACAAUCACUUAAGCCUUUCUGUAAUCAUAAAGGCUAUCACAUAUGUUUUUCCUUAACAUACUAGCUUUUGAUAAAAGACUAUUUUUAACCUCGGUGUACUUUAACGUUUUAAUCCCACGAAUCUUACCCUUUUGGUCCAUCGCACUUUAGCGUGAUAUACUAUCGUGCUUUAGCGAACAAACAAGCAUCGCACUUUAGCGUGAUACACCAUCGUACUUUAGCCUAGACCAUCGUACUUUAGCGUGACCAUCGCACUUUAGAGUACCAUCGCACUUUAGAGUCCUACAUAUACAUUUUGUACUGGUCUAGAUAAUAGUUAAACGUACAAUCCUAUAAUUUGUUGGAUACAAAUCAUUAGAGAUAUAAGAGAUUUGUAUCUUAUUAUAUUAUAUACUGAGUAAAAAAAUAAACUUGUAUACCCUCCCCCCCGUUUUUCCAAAUGCAGUAUUGAAAAGUAAAUCGUUUAAAAGUCCUGAAGAAAAAAUAUGUUUUGAAAAAUGCCCUGCAUACUUAUUUAUGCAAAGACAUAUAGUAAUUAUUGAACAGCUGUGGGGCUUGAAAAAAAAUUUCUAUUUAAGAGAUUCGGAGAUGGUAACAGUAAAAAAAGCUCAGCAACGAAUCCUAAAUGUAAAAUGAUUUGCGGCAUAAGACAUGAGAGUACAUAUUAUAGAUAGUCCAAAAUAUGAAGAUCACGCCUUAUACAGUGUACGUCCUAUGUCAUAGGACUAUUGUUGUAACAUGUGUUAGUUACUGGUUCCAAUUUAUUCCGAAUUGUCUUUAUUAAAGAAUUAGUUCGGGAGUAUCACGGGCUCAGGUCUCUUCUUGUGGGUCUCUGGUUCUGCUGUCGUAAUUAGGGGAUUUUUUUCUACAUGAAGCAAAAAAGAGGGGGCUUAGUCCAAAUAAUUAUAACGUCCUGGAAGGUUUUUAUUCUUUUUUAUGUUUGCCUUUCUGCAACGUCUCUGCGGAUCAAGAAAAGUAAAAAAUAGUAUAGCAUCAAAGAACGUCACGAUUACAUGUAUCUGGACUUAGAGGGGAGGAGGGCUAGCUAUGUAUUUUUUUUAAUUUCAAUGUGUAGACUGUAGGGGAGUUUCUUCAGAAAGGGUUUUCAUUGGAGGUGUUUUGCCAUGCACGCAGGCAUCUGUCUCUAUCAGUGUUGACAUGAAUAUCAAUUAUGUGGUCAUUUUUAUAAAUUUCCUGUUUACAAAACUUUGAAUUUUUAGAAAAACUAAGGAUUUUCUUAUCCCAGGAAUAGAUUACCUUAGUUAGCCGUAUUUGGCACAACUUUUUUGGAAUUUUGGAUCCUCAAUGCUCUUCAACUUUGUAUUUGUUUGGCUUUACAACUAUUUUGAUAUAAUUGUCACUGAUGAGUCUUAUGUAGACGAAACGCGAAUCUGGCGUACUAAAUUAUAAUCAUGGUACCUUUGAUAACUAUUUACACCACUGGGUCGAUGUCACUGCUGGUGGACGUUUCGUCCCCGAGGGUAUCACCAGCCCAGUAGUCAGCACUUCAGUGUUGACAUGAAUAUCAAUUAUGUGGUCAUUUUUAUAAAUUUCCUGUUUACAAAACUUUGAAUUUUUAGAAAAAACUAAGGAUUUUCUUAUCCCAGGAAUAAAUUACCUUAGCCGUAUUUGGCACAACUUUUUGGAAUUUUGGAUCCUCAAUACUCUUCAACUUUGUAUUUGUUUGGCUUUACAACUAUUUUGAUAUGAGCGUCACUGAUGAGUCUUAUGUAGACGAAACGCGCGUCUGGCGUACUAAAAUAUAAUCCUGGUACCUUUGAUAACUAUUUACACCACUGGGUCGAUGCCACUGCUGGUGGACGUUUCGUCCCCGAGGGUAUCACCAGCCCAGUAGUCAAACAUUCAGUGUUGACAUGAAUAUCAAUUAUGUGGUCAUUUUUAUAAAUUUCCUGUUUACAAAACUUUGAAUUUUUAAGAAAAGUUAAGGAUUUUCUUAUCCCAGGAAUAGAUUACCUUAGCCGUAUUUGGCACAACUUUUUUGAAUUUUGGAUCCUCAAUGCUCUUCAACUUUGUAUUUGUUUGGCUUUACAACUAUUUUGAUAUGAGCGUCACCGAUGAGUCUUAUGUAGACGAAACGCGCGUCUGGCGUACUAAAUUAUAAUCCUGGUACCUUUGAUAAUUAUUUACACCACUGGGUCGAUGCCACUACUGGUGGACGUUUCGUCCCCGAGGGUAUCACCAGCCCAGUACUCGGCACUUCAGUGUUGACAUGAAUAUCAAUUAUGUGGUCAUUUUUAUAAAUUUCCUGUUUACAAAACUUUGAAUUUUUAAACUAUCCAUGAACAGGUUGUGUGUCAAAAUAAUUAUAAGGACUUGUCACUCGCAUUUUAUGCUCGACCUGGCCAUUAUCACGGUAGGUAUAGUGUCCGGCUAGGAUCGUGGUUUUUCGAGUGAUUCGGUCCAUUUUUUUCGAGUGUAGUUCGGGCUUUUUCGAGUGAUAAAACAUGCGAUAAGUUCAAUUAACGGAUAUUUCGUGCUUCUAGUAGUUUUUAACAUUACUACCCAUCUUAUAUUGAAGACUAUACAUGUUUUGAUCAACAAAGAAGCACAAUUUCCUUGUAUUUAAACCAAAAAAAUCAGUGUUUGUUAUUGUCCGGGUUUUUUCGAGAGCAACUGUGAAAUCGUCCGGGUUUUUAGACAAAUGGUCCGGGUUUUUUACAGAAAAUUUGAAUAACAAAAAAGGUAUUCUAGACUUUAAAAAUGACUUUUUCUAGUUUUUUACUGUAAUUAAGUGAAGGAAAAUAUCAUAUAUCAGUGUAUAUUCCAAAUAAAUUGUCAAAAAAUAUUACUUCGUUUAUCAAAAUGAAGCUUUUUUUUCAAUUAAAUGCAAAUUUUCUGUUCGGAAAGCGUUCUACAACUACAUUCCAGUGUUCAUAUAGCAAUUACUUGUCUUGAUCCCUUCAAAACGGUCUUUAGAACACAGUGCAGAGGACUCGUAUUCAUUUUAACUUCAUUUCAUGCUACAUUUGAUUUUACAGUUAAUGAUAUUUCUUGUGGUUAAACCCGGAGAUUAAAAAAAGGAGAAGGAAACCUAAUAGACAGCAGUGAAGAAUCAGAAAAAUGCUAUGUAAUAAAAGAUAUUCUACAAAAAGAGGCCUGCACCCGUCCCCAUAUAGAAUCCAUUAAUAAAAAUUAAAUACACACACAUUCCAAGUAUUGUUCGUUGUAUCAAAUGACUUUAAUAUGUAUUCCAACAUUGGUAAUAACACACCUGGUUUCAUUACUUUUUGGUAUAGCGGACGGUGUCGAUAAAAGUACUGUCUUAUUUGGAACGACAAAGUUUAUUUUUGAGUUAAUUGGGUCACAAUUCCCCCUGUCUUCUGUUUGUUUUUUUACCAGGCCCUGGUUUCCUAGACCUCUCAUGAAAUUAAGAAAUUUUCCAUGAAACAAUCUGAAUCCAACUUGCCAAAAAUUUCUUGUAAUUGUUGUGUACCUCAUUUGACAAGUAUUUUCAACCGAAAACCACUUAACGACGUCUAGAAAACAGCAAAAAGGAAAUGUUAUUCGUGGGGAACUUGUCCUGUUUCAAAAGUUUAAAGAAACAUUCUAGAUUUUCUCGUCUAUCAUCAGAGGUCGGAACAUGAGUCAGUAGUGAAGAAAUUGUGUUGUCACUAUACCUUGAAAUCUGUUUAAUAUGUUGGUUGGUUAUCUCUUUUUUAUUAUUCUCUUCAGAGUUUUGAUGUAUUUCCAAUGUUUCAUUUUCAGCUGGCAAAAUACAUACCAUAGAAUCCUUUGGUCGUAACCAGAUAGAUUGAUCAGGAACGACAUUGUAAUGUUUUGAUAGAUAUCCAUAUUGUCCAUUUCUUAAGCACUUUUCUCUUAUUGAAAGGAAGUUCUCAUGGUGUUUUAUUGCUGUAUGACCAAUUAUGAGAUAUGCGUAAUCAGACUCCUCCUCGCAGUAAUAUAGCAUUUAAACAUUCUCCCAUUCUACUAUUUAGUCAGACGUCACAUAAUUUAAUUGAUUGUAUGCUGGUUCAUAUUCUGGACGCCAGUCUUUGCUCCUUUCUAAUAAAAAAUAAAAUAAAAUAAAAAAUGACAUCGGACUCGGACUUCUCUUGAACUGACUUUUAAUGUGCGUAUUGUUAUGCGUUUACUUUUCUACAUUGGCUAGAGGUAUAGGGGGAGGGUUGAGAUCUCAUUAACAUGUUUAACCCCGCCGCAUUUUUGAGCCUGUCCCAAGUCAGGAGCCUCUGGCCUUUGUUAGUCUUGUUUUAUUUUUACUUUUAGUUUCUUGUGUAUAAUUUGGAGUUUAUUAUGACGUCCAUUAUCACUGAACUAGUAUAUAUAUUUAUUUAGGGGCCAGCUGAAGGACGCCUCCGGAUGCGGGAAUUUCUCGCUGCAUUGAAGACCUAUUGGUGACCUUCUGUUGUUGUCUGUUCUGUGGUCGGGUUGUUGUCUCUUUGACACAUUCCCCAUUUCCAUUCUCAAUUUUAUUAUCGCUUUCCAUUUUUCUAAAACAAUAAAAUAAAGUAUACAAGACACGAGACAGAUAGUUAAUAAAAUAUUUAGGAUGCAUACUCUUUUAAAAACAAACAUAUAUGUCUCACCUCACACAAUAUAUGUGUGUACGUCUCAAUCUGAUUUUUAUAUGCUUACAUUAGACUGUUGACACCACGAAUAUACAUGUAUACUGUACAUGCAAUUUAUAAGAUAUGAGAAACAACAAUAUAUACAAAUGAACGAUACUUGUUUAUAAAAUGUGUGUGUUAAUACACCAUGUGCCUUGAAAGUACUUGAUUUGACAUUUUUAUCUAUAGUUUUUAAACGUAAAUACACCAACACAUAACAUUUUUCGCUAUAAGAAAUGUGAAUAAUCACUCGAUAAAAAACAGACGCACUCGAAAAAGUCCGGACUGCUCACGAAAAAGCCCGGACAUAACAAAAUGAAUUUAGUCUCAAAAUGUCGUUUUCAAUGCAAUAAGAAUAGUUUUUGUAAAGUGUCUGUAUAUCUAAGGAUAUAUAGAUUCCAUGUAUGUAUUUCCUUCGACAUUUACAUUGGUAUGUGUAUAAAAAUGGGUUUAUUCUGUAUUUUUGAAUAAAAGCAUUGUAAGGCUAAAUUUAACUUUUAAACGAAAAACAAUGUCAGAAUGAUGAUAACUUUUUAUCUCAAAUACUAACAUACCUUGUAUAACCUUGUAUAUUAACCUCAAGCUUGUAUAUCAGUUCUUGUCAGAAAGGAAGUCUGUUUGUUUACAUUUUUGAUCACAAUCACUCUAAAAAAAGUGGUCACACUCGAAAAAGCCCGAACAAAUCACUCGAAAAACCACGAUCCUAGCCGGACACUAUACCUACCGUGAUUAUUGGCAUUAACAGCCAGUGCACGAACUCGCACGAACUCGCACGAACGCCAAAUUUAGUUAGAGGAGUGAUAUUCCGAAUGCGUUUUUUUAAUUCUUGGUCACUCAUGUUUAGAAAGAAAUGGGAGAAAUCCUAACAAUUACCGACCAAUCACAAACGUUGUUGCAAAUUUGACCUUGUAACGUCAAAAUUGACGCUUUUGCACCUGAUGAGCAAUUUUGGGGCAAAUUCACGCCCACACACCCCCCGCCUCCUCGCCCCAAACAUCCCACCCGUGAUCCCUAUCUUUGAUUUAAAGGAAUCAAUAUGCAUCAGCAGCAGGGUAAAGCGCAUUUGCAUGUUAUUUGCAUAUUUUUGCAAAUAAACGAAAAUUAUACAUUUUCUGAAAACAAUUCAGCAUGGUAAGAGUUAAGAUAAAAAAAAAUCGUUAAAGAUUAUCAAUACUUCGUUAACAUCAUAACUUAUACAUGUAAUAAGCUGAAUUCCAUGACGAUAUACCAAUAAAGUUUCGAAUUUAAAGGUUAGAGGGGCUGGAUGAUUUUUUUUUUUUUUAGAAUAGAUUAUAAAAGCAAUAAAAAUAAAAAAAGAGAAAAAACCUGGUUUUAUAGCUAGCUAAAUCUCUCAAAAAUACAAAAUUGAAGACCCCUUUUUAGGCCAUGGGUAUUCAAAAAACUUUUCAAAUACUACUAUAAUUAAAGUCAAACUCGCGGAUUGGAUGGUACACCUCAUUCCACUUGUCUGUCCGUCGGUCUGUCUGUUUGUCCUUCCGGCUGUCCGUCCGAAAUUAUUGUUGCAUAUUAUUUCGUUUCUAUAUCAUGGGAAAGCUUGAUUUAUUUACAAGUUGUAAUUAGCUUUGAACUAACUUUUAAUAACUGUGAGUACUCUCAGAUCUGUAUUGGGUGUCUUGUCUUUUCUUUGCAGCCUUCACGAAAUCUCUUUUAUAUGACAGGCCGAAAAUAAGAUUUUAACAAAAUUUCUUUAAAACUUAUUUUUCUUGUGGGCCUCGGUUUCUGGAAAAUUGCACUGACCCGUCAACAUUUUACAGAUAAUUGCUUGAAUAAGUAUUCUAAUCAAUUGGGUAACGUAUACAUUAUGAAUGCACGUGUGAUACCAAGAAUCAACAGAUAGAAAUAAAUUUAGAAACAUUCAAAAUCUGAGACGUUAAUUUUCACUUUAUCAUUAAAUAUUAAAAAAACCCGCACUUUAAUGCAUCCCUUUCAGAAGCCGUAAUGCUAAGUAAACAAAUAUCUUCAUUUGAGUACAUUAAAACCCUUUCAUCCCCAACAAGGCAUCGUUUUUUUCGGUAUUUUAAAAAUAAGUUUCACAACAAUAUGGCAGGGCGUAUGAACUAGAAAAAUUAACCCAGUCAUAAAGCGCAUAGGGCCCGGUCCCCCUGCCCCUCCUAAAUCCGCCUCUGAGUUUCUAUGCAUCGUUUUGUGCAAUCGUACCCUUUUAAAAUAGGAAAAAUACAAUUGAAACGGCGGGAAAAAAUUAAUGGAAGCCUCCGAUGAGCAAAGUUGGUACAACAGCCGUUUAUUUCAAUGUUUUAUGUUAACGUUUGAACAAGUGUCUUUUCCGGUGAAAAUCACAAACAUUUAUUCCGUGACCUCAUUUGCUAUCAUUUGCAUAUUACUGCGGAUAUGAAGGGGGCAUUUAAUUCAACAUUUCAUUGAAAGUUGUCGUUUUCUGAUUCGGAUGCUCUUAGCUUUUCUUUGCUUCAUUAUUUCUUCCUUUUGCCUGCAAACGGCCACGGAAAACAUUUUAUUCAGUCCAAAAAUGAGACCGCAUGUAAAUCACCAUUUGUUUUAUUCAUUUUUUUUAUUCUACCCUAUAAAUAAAUUGACCUUUGACGACGGCCGUCAGUUGACCAAUAAAAAUUGGGAUUCCGUUUCUUACGUCGUAAUAUCAUGUGAUAUGCCAUGUGCUUAAGAAAAAGAAAUGUGUACAUUUAGAAAACUAUGCACACAAAAUAUAUUUGAAAAGACUGAGAAUUAAUUUUUGGUGAAUGGGACAAGGUAUAUAAUGCUUCUUAUUGUAUUUCUUCAAAUAGUUAGGAACAUUCAAGUCUUUGGACUGGCAUUUUCAAAUAUGCAGAUCACAAGUAAAGUAACAGGCUACUUCAAAAUAAAUACACUAGCUAAAAUAAAUACACAUAUAUAUGUCCAGUCCUGUAACUUUGUUAUAUCAUAGAAGUAUUAUAUUAACUUUCAUCUUCUUUCCAUGAUCAUAUGUUGGAGUAAAAUGGAUUAGGAGUUGAAAAGAUUGCUAAUUAAAAUAAGAUUGUGGGCAUACAUAUGCAUUAUAUCACAAUUUUAAUGUAAAUGGAAAGGAACAUUUUCAACCUCUGUUUUAUGUAUGUUUAACAUUUAAAACAAAAAUAUUUAAAGGAAAGAACUUGCAUGACUUAUUGAUAUCUUAGUAAUUUUUUUUAUGGAAAGCUUCAGGAAAAGCAAUACAUUUUCUGAAGUUAUAUACCAAAUAAAACCCAAAGUAAUCGUAGUCGGUGCUAUGAUUUUAUUCAACCAACAUCCAAAAAUGUCCUUUUACCAAUUUUUAUACUGUAUCACUAGACACAACAAUUUUCUGGAUAAGGGUUGUGACCAAAGUUAUUAAUGCUCAAAACUGUUAUAUGAAUUAUGAAAAGUAUGACCAAAACUGACAUUACAUUAAAAUAAUUUUUAUAAAUAAGUUAUAGAUCAUAGCUUCAUAAUUCAGAUUGUGAUAUACCAAAAAAAUAAUAAGUUAUUCUGCAUAAAUUACUUCUUUUAUCACAACUAUUUCUUCCCAAAACCGCAGUAUUUUACGCAAAUAAAAAAAAAAUUGAUGAUCUAUGCGGGCCUAUUUCUAUCCUUCGUGAAACUUCUUCUUUGCACGUUUUUUUACAGCGUAGAUGUCUGAACUUUUUUAAAAUUUGUAUAAAAUGAAAAGCCAAUUAAUUUUAAAACUAAAUGCAAAUUGUAUUUUUAUUGUUUUUUGUAGGUUUGGCGAUGUUUGGAGAGCGAUGUCAAUAUAGUAUAUGUUCUUCUCCUUUUGUUUGUAAUAAUGCAAUUUGUAGUUGUCCAAAUCAGGAAUCCCAUUAUUUUGAUCUAAGAGGACAACGUUGUAAACUAAAAGGUAAGUUGAUAAGGCCAUUAUGAAAAUAUUCCCGUACCUCAACCCCUCCCCCGAUUUAUUUCAGAAGCACCCUAACAUUUUUUCAUUCUGGCUUUUCCACUUUCAGUUUGAUAGAAGUUUUCACAAAUAAUAAUAAAAAGGUAAAAAAAAAAAAAAAAAAAGAAAAGGAAACCUUGAUUUUCGCUACCCAAAGGUUACGAUCCGGAUCAUUAAUCUAAACCAUUUGCAGUUUAGGAAGUACACCACUAAUUCAUGGCCC